CCGCAAGGUCACCGUCGUACGGGUGCGUAACGCGUAUGCAACCUACCUUCCACUGGGGGAUAGCCCGGGGAAACCCGGAUUAAUACCGCAUGACACAGUUUUAUCUCCUGGUGAGACUGUUAAAGAUUUAUCGGUGGAAGAUGGGCAUGCGUCUGAUUAGCUAGUUGGCGGGGUAACGGCCCACCAAGGCGACGAUCAGUAGGGGAGCUGAGAGGUUGAUCCCCCACACGGGCACUGAGAUACGGGCCCGACUCCUACGGGAGGCAGCAGUAGGGAAUAUUGGGCAAUGGAUGAGAGUCUGACCCAGCCAUGCCGCGUGCCGGAUGAAGGCCCUCAGGGUUGUAAACGGCUUUUAUCCGGGAAGAAGAGCGGGGGUGCGCCCCCGUGUGACGGUACCGGAUGAAUAAGCACCGGCUAACUCCGUGCCAGCAGCCGCGGUAAUACGGAGGGUGCAAGCGUUGUCCGGAUUUAUUGGGUUUAAAGGGUGCGUAGGUGGCUUGUUAAGUCAGUGGUGAAAGACAGCCGCUCAACGGUUGAGGUGCCAUUGAUACUGACGGGCUUGAAGCAGACAGAGGCUGCCGGAAUGGAUGGUGUAGCGGUGAAAUGCAUAGAUAUCAUCCAGAACACCGAUUGCGAAGGCAGGUGGCUAUGUCUGACUUGACACUGAGGCACGAAAGCAUGGGGAGCAAACAGGAUUAGAUACCCUGGUAGUCCAU
This 716-nucleotide ribosomal RNA is filed under the name Telluribacter sp. Its description in RNAcentral is "bacterial SSU rRNA". It matches the Rfam family "Bacterial small subunit ribosomal RNA", at positions 84 to 798 of the family's 1533-position model. The record is from RNAcentral. Lineage: Bacteria; Pseudomonadati; Bacteroidota; Cytophagia; Cytophagales; Spirosomataceae.